CCCAGACCCAAGGCCCAAAGGCCCCACUCUAAGGUCCAAAGGGGCUCCACCCCAUUCUCUAACCGGACUCAGUCUCUGGCAAGGACCCAGGCUGCCAUCCGCACUCCCCAGACGCACGUGGCCCACCCUCCGCCCGUCCCGCGCCCACCCCCUCCCUCCAGUACCAGAGCCCUAGCCGGCGGCACCCGGGCACCCUUCUGGCUCAGAGCCACGCUCCACGAGGGGGACCGAUCUGUUCACUUGCCCCGUCCUGGGGGUACCAGAGUAGCCAGCGCGACGCCUUCCGCACCUCGCCUAGGCCGCCCUUGUGCGGCCGUCCUCAGUCCCUGCCACCUUGCACGACCCCAGGAGGUACCGGCAUCUUCUUGGGGUUCUUACCGGCCGGGGUUCGGUGCGCUCCGCCGUCUGCUGGGCCGUCCGGGGCGUCGUCUGCGGUCCUGGAGGCGGCAACCAGGGCGCUCACGGCGCCGACCGUCCGCAGCAGGGUCGGGUUGCGGGGCGCGGCGCGGAGGACCGCGCGGGGCUCGCGGCGGGCAGGAGGCGACGGCGGCGGCGGCGGCGGCAGCAGCGCGCGCAGGGCGUCCAGCUCCGCUCGAAGCUCCGCGCGCAGCGCCUCAAUCUCGGCGCCCAGCUCCGCGCGCACUGCCGCCAAGCCCCUCUGCAGCCGCCGCUCGCUCACCUCCAGGACCCCCACCGGGUAGGUGGCCCCGCCGCGCGGCUCUCCGCACACCGAGCACACGGAGUCGCAGCUGUGCGUGCCAGUACUCUCGUCCACGCCCGCCGCCCUGGCCCGCGCACGCUGCACCAGCUCCAGCAAAGCUGCCUGGGCCCGGAUCUGGCUGCGCAGGCGAGCCAUCGGGCCCGGUGCUCGGGCGUCUUCCCGGCCGGGCCCAUUGGAUUGUGGCCCCGGGUCCCGCGGCGCCUCGCUGGCUCCGUACGCACUUUGCGCCUGGGCCCCAAGCUCCGCCAUCGGCACUGCUGCCUCCACCGCCGCCAGCGCCCGGGAUGGCCGGAAGCCUCAGGCUGCAGCCUAGCGACCGCUGGGGCCCAGGCGACGCACUGUGGAGGGGGCCCUCGGGAUGGCUGUGGGAACGACCAAAGCCCUGGGGGAUCCGGCCUGGGGCGCGGUGA
Molecule: long non-coding RNA, 1131 nt
Filed under: Papio anubis (olive baboon)
Lineage: Eukaryota; Metazoa; Chordata; Mammalia; Primates; Cercopithecidae
Description: lncRNA (ENSPANG00000041182.1)
Source: RNAcentral